GCCAGCCUGGCGUAGUGGUUUGGAUGCUAGACUAUCACUUUGGAGGCCAGGGUUCAAAUCCCCGCACAGCCA
This is a non-coding RNA of Phrynosoma platyrhinos (Desert horned lizard), 72 nucleotides long. Lineage: Eukaryota; Metazoa; Chordata; Lepidosauria; Squamata; Phrynosomatidae. The record is from the annotation of a GenBank genome assembly.